AGGCUGAAGCUGUUGAGAAAGUUGUGGAAUUUAUGAAUACAUAUUCUAUCAGUCAGGAAGACUUCGAUACUAUUGUAGAGUUGUCAAAAUUCAAGGAAGCCAUGGAAUAGACAUAAAGGGGCCAACAAAAUGAGAUUGAGAACGUGCAAUGGAGUGGGGUGGUAGGCAUAAUAUAGCUGGAGUGAAACGAAAGAGAGGUACCACCAACCAUGAUUUUUCUUUUCUUUUUCCAAUUCACUGUUUCCUUCCAAAACACUAAGGACCCAGAAUCUAGUUGGUGCUCUUAGAGGGAUCUUACACUUAAAAUACAGGUUUAAAUUAAUCUUUUUUUUCUUAUUUAUCCUUUUAUUUUUGGAUCAAG
Molecule: long non-coding RNA, 361 nt
Organism: Arachis duranensis
Lineage: Eukaryota; Viridiplantae; Streptophyta; Magnoliopsida; Fabales; Fabaceae
Exons: 2
Source: RefSeq, a predicted model, not a curated record